CGAACGCUGGCGGCAGGCCUAAUACAUGCAAGUCGAACGGCUCUUCGGAGCAGUGGCGGACGGGUGAGUAACGCGUGGGAAUGUGCCCUUAGGUACGGAACAACACAGGGAAACUUGUGCUAAUACCGUAUGUGCCUUUCGGGGGAAAGAUUUAUCGCCUUUGGAGCAGCCCGCGUUGGAUUAGGUAGUUGGUGAGGUAAAGGCUCACCAAGCCGACGAUCCAUAGCUGGUCUGAGAGGAUGACCAGCCACACUGGGACUGAGACACGGCCCAGACGCCUACGGGAGGCAGCAGUAGGGAAUCUUGCGCAAUGGGCGAAAGCCUGACGCAGCCAUGCCGCGUGUAUGAUGAAGGUCUUAGGAUUGUAAAAUACUUUCACCGGGGAAGAUAAUGACGGUACCCGGAGAAGAAGCCCCGGCUAACUUCGUGCCAGCCGCCGCAGUAA
This 445-nucleotide ribosomal RNA is filed under the name uncultured bacterium. RNAcentral describes it as "partial 16S ribosomal RNA". It matches the Rfam family "Bacterial small subunit ribosomal RNA", at positions 30 to 523 of the family's 1533-position model. The record is from RNAcentral.